CUCUUUCUCGUUCCCUUCAUUUCUUUUCUCGUUCACUUCUUCCAUAUCCCGUUCACCUAUGUCACGAGCUCGGCGCUAGGGUUCCAUGGCCGGCGACUCGAAGCUCGCCGCCGAGAAGGAAUCCGUGGCGGCAGAUCGGCCCCGGCGGUGCAUCUCGCACCCGACGCAAGGCCCAUGGGAGGAGGGCGGUCAGCGGCUCGCCACCGCCGAGGAGUCGGCCUGCGGACGGUCCCCCGCUCGGCCGCCCAGUCAUUGGCGGCGGCAACCGCAGCGACCCGUGCCCUCCUGCGGGAAUGGCGCGGAUCCAUCAAGUCGCUCCCCAUGCCACCGCCUUUCGCCGCCGGGUGAUGAUGGGGGUGAGGGCGAGAUCGAGAUCGGGGCCCCAAUCCACCGCCGAUGGCCACCAUGGAACCAACGUGGACAAGAAGCAGCAAUCGUGGCGGCGCCGGCCCCCUUCACGGGUCGAUCGCUGCCACCUCUACGCACGUCGCCACACCCUCGCUUCGUCCUCCGCCACCGUGGCGAGCACCAGCGGGAGAGGCGGCACCGGACUGUUGCAAGCCGACAAAAAAUGUCGAUGAUUAGAUGAAAUGUGGCAUUAUAAAGAUUGCUUGACUUGUAAGAAAUAAGUUGAGAAAUUUAGUAUGGGCAACGACAAGGCAUGAUGUGUAUCUUAUGUCAUACUACUCUGUGCUUCAUUGGUCAGCAUUGACUCCCGAGAAGCAAGAAAUCAUUGAUCUUUAGGGGCAUGUCGCACCAUGUGAGAAGCACCAUGGAAAUUUCUGUGUGGGAUUUUAUCAUUACUCAAGUAAGUACUUUGGCAGUGAAAAACAACUUGCUUGUUACUGGUGGAUUUCAUGGCGAAAUAAUAUGCAGAGUCUACAGAUUUCAUCCACAUCUUUGAUGUUGAUAGUGGGUACAGCAGUAAGCAGGAACUGGAUUUCUUUGGUGAGAUCGCAGGCCUAUCAUUCAGUCCUGACACUGAAGCUCUCUUUGUCGGUGUGCAUGAUCGUGCAUACAGCAGCCUCCUCCAGUUUAACCGCCGACGAUUCUACUCGGACCUUGACACAACACUGUGAAGUUGCUGCUGGCAAGGAAAUGUGAGUGAGAUCCAGAUCACAGGUUGUAGAAACUAGAAAGGUGUGUAUAUGUUCGUUGGUGUUACUAGCCAAGUUGUAGAUAUUCAGCUAGCCAUGUUUCUUUUGUUGAAAAAGGUUGUAGAUAUUCAGUGAGCCAUCUUUUCGGAGAUUUGUAUGUACUGUUUCUUCUGCUGCAACGUUGUUGUACUUAAAGGGCUACUUGAUCAACAGGUUCACGCAUGUUUUCAUCAAUUGAAGCUGGUUUUGGCAUCAGAACCUUCUCAUAA
Long non-coding RNA from Panicum virgatum (switchgrass), 1366 nucleotides. RefSeq lists it as uncharacterized. The transcript has 4 exons. The record is from RefSeq and is a predicted model, not a curated record. Lineage: Eukaryota; Viridiplantae; Streptophyta; Magnoliopsida; Poales; Poaceae.